Molecule: ribosomal RNA, 415 nt
Filed under: uncultured eukaryote
Lineage: Eukaryota
Description: bacterial SSU rRNA
Rfam family: Bacterial small subunit ribosomal RNA
Source: RNAcentral
GGACUGGGGCGAGCAUGACGUAGCGACACCGCGUGAGCGAAGAAGCCCUUUGGGGUGUAAAGCUCUGUCAGCUGGAACGAACACAAUGACGGUACCAGCAGAGGAAGCAUCGGCUAACUACGUGCCAGCAGCCGCGGUAAGACGUAGGAUGCAAGCGUUGUCCGGAUUUAUUGGGCGUAAAGAGUUCGUAGGCGGUUAGUUAAGUCUGGUGUUAAAUCCCGUGGCCCAACCACGGAGCUGCAUUGGAUACUGGCUAACUUGAGUGCGGUAGAGGUGAGUGGAAUUCCCAGUGUAGCGGUGAAAUGCGUAGAUAUUGGGAAGAACACCGGUGGCGUAGGCGACUUACUGGGCCGUAACUGACGCUGAGGAACGAAAGCCAGGGGAGCGAAUGGGAUUAGAUACCCCCAGUAGUCAA